AAAUUGAAGAGUUUGAUCAUGGCUCAGAUUGAACGCUGGCGGCAGGCCUAACACAUGCAAGUCGAGCGGCAGCGGAAAGUAGCUUGCUACUUUGCCGGCGAGCGGCGGACGGGUGAGUAAUGUCUGGGAAACUGCCUGAUGGAGGGGGAUA
This 151-nucleotide ribosomal RNA is filed under the name Enterobacter roggenkampii. RNAcentral's name for it is "partial 16S ribosomal RNA". It matches the Rfam family "Bacterial small subunit ribosomal RNA", at positions 1 to 145 of the family's 1533-position model. Lineage: Bacteria; Pseudomonadati; Pseudomonadota; Gammaproteobacteria; Enterobacterales; Enterobacteriaceae. The record is from RNAcentral.